GUGCUUGCUUUGGCAGCACAUAUAAUAAGAUUAGAACGACACAGAGAAGAUUAUCGUGGCCCCUCCAGAAGGAUGACAAACAAAUUCGUGAAGCGUUACCUAUUUUU
Non-coding RNA from Erinaceus europaeus (western European hedgehog), 107 nucleotides. The record is from Rfam. Lineage: Eukaryota; Metazoa; Chordata; Mammalia; Eulipotyphla; Erinaceidae.